GGGCCGAUAGUGAUAGCGGUAGCACUUCUGCCUUGCACGCAGAGAGUAGGGGUUCGGCUCCCCUUCGGUCCACCA
Molecule: transfer RNA, 75 nt
Filed under: Prevotella sp.
Lineage: Bacteria; Pseudomonadati; Bacteroidota; Bacteroidia; Bacteroidales; Prevotellaceae
Description: tRNA-Ala
Rfam family: tRNA
About the family: Transfer RNA (tRNA) molecules are approximately 80 nucleotides in length. Their secondary structure includes four short double-helical elements and three loops (D, anti-codon, and T loops).
Source: RNAcentral